RNAcentral lists this long non-coding RNA (2560 nucleotides) under Neodiprion lecontei (redheaded pine sawfly). Its description in RNAcentral is "uncharacterized LOC124293350". The record is from RNAcentral. Lineage: Eukaryota; Metazoa; Arthropoda; Insecta; Hymenoptera; Diprionidae.
UAAUUCCGGAAUAAUUCUCACGCGGCGAAUUCAUUGAUCUGUCUUUGACAAUUAUCCGUACAACUUGGUUAAAAAUACGAAUACAUAAACACGGCCAGAUAAGCGGGGACAAUUACCGGAGCGAUUGCGGGAAUUUUAUACGGCGAUAAUCCGAGGUGGGAAAAUAAAUUGACCGUAAAGAUACGAGCAGAAAAUUGCCAAGCCGUCACGCAUCGAGUAACAUUUAUCGUGCGGUUCGUCGAUGCGGGGCUAAUGCCGCCUGCACCACGGAAUUACCAUGUUCAGGAAAUUCUAUCACCGAUCAUUAGGUAUGCGGGACAUGGUAAGAAAUCACUUGUAAUUACAUUUGUUGCUAAACCAGUCAACGAGAUGCUGCGUCGGAAGGUGAUAAAACAUUUACAAAUCGCGAGAAAUUGAUGAAAGUUUUUUUUUUCUUUUUUUUUUUUUUUUUUGUUAACCGGAUCCGUAACAUCCGUUGCAGACAAUUCGAACGAAUCGACGGACUUGAAAUAAUUUUAGUUAAUUCGGAUGCCUAAUUUUAUUCCACGUUUAAAACUGUCAGGCCUCGAGUUAGGCUGUUGAACGUUAUUUUUCAGCAGAGUUUCGUUUCCUUGAGUAUUCUUCGCGUAAGCUGGGCGAAAUUGACGUUUCACAAGUCACUUGAUCCGUGCGUAACGAAUCAGCGAUCGAUACUGCGUAGGUAUCACGUUAUACCGUAGGAAAUUAGAAUCGAGUGACAAAAAAAAAAAAUGUCACGUUCAUUUGUGUUAUGAUACCCUGACAAGGAAACACUUGAGAUUAGUUGUUAUAUCCUUUGAUCUUUUACGCAUUCCGGAAACGAUACAACGAUUAACCUUACGUAUACGAGUAUAAAUAUAUUCUAACCAGCAGCUUAACGUUGUAGAUUUAUUUAAUUAUAGAUAAACAAAUUCACGCACGCCUUGUACAAUUUUAUCUUGUCAAUGCGAUCAUUGAGUGCACGUAAAACAUACGCGCGGUGAAAAUAUACCAGCAAGGUUAAAAAUCGCAAUUACAGGCUGGAAAAUAAUAGCCAAUUAAUACCUGUCUUGUAAUAACGCGAACAAUUCCGCGCCAUCGGACACGGAAUGUGUUAAUUGUUACUAAUCGUUACACAUCUUGGAACGGUGAAAGGGAUUGUAAUUGAUCAAUGCGCAAUCAAAUGAAAAAUUCAUGAGGAUCGAGAGGGUCGCGUAACUUAUCUUGCGGUGUUGAGAUCGCGUGAAAGCAGUUUCUGUUUCUGUGAUUCAUACUUUACAAGCCUAUCAUUUAAGUGUAUUACACUGUGUAUCACAGUUGGCUUCGGCGUUACGCUGGAAUAAUUGAGUAGAAGAAUAAUGAAGAAAAGGAAGUGUCUAUUAAAAGCACGGAAUUCACCGGAGGAUCUUAAUUAAUUAACAAAGUAACUGUCGGCAUGCGUGGAAUUUCUCAAGGAAUUCACGUUUUAAAUUUAUGGUAUUCCAGACUGAAAAUAGGAACUUUUUCAGUAAACUUUCAAAAAAUAUGCGGCUGAUUGACGACGAUUUCUUUACACAUUAAUACUAAUACCUUCGAUAUUAACAUAGUACCUGUAUUACUAUCUGACUGUCAAUUUACAAACAACAGCCCGCGAUUUUCCGCAAGAAGAGAAAUGUAAGAAAGUUUGAAAAAUGAAGAGGGUACAUAAAAAGUGUGAAGUGGUGAGACGAAACGAAGAUUUGUGUGUGGUUGUUUUUCUUUUUUUCUUUAGCUCGAUAGAACUUUGUGUGAAAACGAGUUUCUUUCUACGACGGAUUCCAAAUUCCUGUCUUAUUUUCGAAAUUCCCUGAAUUUUCCCAGUUUUCUAGAUUUUCACUAUGCGUACGAACCGUGAGUUUUCAUCGGCCGACAUGUUUUUUUUUUUUUCAAACGAUUUAAAAGCUCUCUUGUACCAUGUUACAUGAAAAUAUGACCAUUUUUUUUUUUUUUUUUUUGAAUUCUAAACCAUUAUAAUGGAUUCACCAUUACAAACUUUGAAAGUUUGACCUUGAAUUCAUUAUAAUUCGAAAAUUUUAACAUUUUGGAUUUCGUGAAUCUGACCUCAGAUUCGUGAUUAGCCACUUAAAAAAACCUUCGAGUAUCAAUUUUCACAAAAACCCAAAUGUUCUUAAUUUUCUUUUUUUCUCAACAUAUUCAAUACGCCAAAUUUAAAUUUUGGAAAUGCGAAUUUAGAUUCGGGAUGAGCGACCUAAAAAACUUGUAAUUACAUUUGUUGCUCUGAUCAGUUCUAAGUUUGGAAAAGCCGCGUCGAUCGAGACCAAAAUCGUCGAACAAAAAAAUGAUCACACACCGAAACCCAACUUUUAAUUUUCGGGGUGAUUACAGUAACUACGUUCUUUCCCUUAAAGCAGAUAAACGGGCAGCCAAAAAAUACCAACCGCGUGAACUCGGCAGUCAUUUUUUGCGCAAUCGUUCGGUACAGGUGGAAGUAAAAGUGUGAUAAAAAAAAAAAAAAAAGAAACAAAAAAAAUCACAAGCUAAACCUUGUAUACACAAAGAAGACCUUGUUCUCCUAUCGGGGUGA